CAAAAAGAGAAAGAAAGGAAAAUAUAGCUAAAAUGAAAAAGCUUAACCAUCCCUGAAAGUGACACUGCUCCAUAGAAAGCUCUGGAGUUGACUGUGCGGUGCAGCAUUUAUUUUUCACGAUUCCUUCAUCUGGCCUGGCAUGGUUUCAGUAUGGAAGAGGCUGAUUCUCUAACACCUGGCAACGGAGAAAAUGGUUUGGUGGCAUGCUCGGUGUGAAAGACAGAGGGCAGAAACCUAUCCUAAGGCUUGUGUACAAACGUGCUCGAAGGAAUUUGAUACCCUUGAUCGUCCAUCAUGUGCGCCCAGGCAGUAACAGCUUCAGCGAUGAAUGACGGGCUUGUAGAUCCCACAUCUGGGUGCCAUACACAACAUUUAGGGCGUGGGGAGGCUACAAAGCACAGGUAUGGAGACUAAGAGACUAAACUCCAUUUGGCCCAGGAGAUGAUGACACCCUUGUUUUUUUCACAGCUUGCUCUACUUCUUUCCACUUAGGUACACAGUCCUCCAUUUGGUAUUCUGGUGGAUUGAUAGAUGGGCUGU
This is a long non-coding RNA of Acipenser ruthenus (sterlet), 540 nucleotides long. RefSeq lists it as uncharacterized. NCBI's taxonomy places the organism in Eukaryota, Metazoa, Chordata, Actinopteri, Acipenseriformes, Acipenseridae. The record is from RefSeq and is a predicted model, not a curated record. The transcript has 3 exons.